RNAcentral lists this ribosomal RNA (231 nucleotides) under uncultured bacterium. RNAcentral's name for it is "partial 16S ribosomal RNA". It matches the Rfam family "Bacterial small subunit ribosomal RNA", at positions 546 to 776 of the family's 1533-position model. The record is from RNAcentral.
CGGAUUCACUGGGUUUAAAGGGUGCGUAGGCGGAUAUGUAAGUCGGGGGUGAAAUCUCUGGGCUUAACCCGGAAACUGCCAUGGAUACUAUGUGUCUUGAAUGUUGUUGAGGUGAGCGGAAUAUGUCAUGUAGCGGUGAAAUGCUUAGAUAUGACAUAGAACACCAAUUGCGAAGGCAGCUCACUAAGCAAAUAUUGACGCUGAGGCACGAAAGCGUGGGGAUCAAACAGG